CAAGUCUACGCAGGGCUCUUAUCGAUAAUCCCUCACCGUGCUCAGUAUUUGCUCGCAGGAGCUGCAGCAGGGAUCGGCGCUUGGUUUUCCUGGGCACCGUGCUCACAGGCAGCACCGGAUCCCCCCCAGUUUUUUGGAUCAAACUGCAACAGGAACUGCUGAAGUGUGUGGGAGAGGAAAGGGGGGAAAGGGGCAAUUAAGGCAAGCUCCUGCCAUUGCCUACAUAGAUGGCUUGUCCUCUGAGACAUCACCUCCUGAAGAAAACAGCACCGUUGGUUCAGAAGGCCCGACGAGGCCCUCGAGCUAAAUACCAGCACUGCCAGACCCGGGGGAGGCAUCUCGCCCUGCAGAAGACUGGAAAACCAAGCCCUACCUGGGCAUUAUACUAGGACUUCUUUAACAUCCACAGAAAGGACGCAUCCCAGUACUUCCAGUCCACUUUCACGCUGGCAUUACCACUCUCUACCCUUGUUCACAGAGAUUUUAUCUGCAUCCGGAGAGUCUGGCAGAAGAGGAUGGAGUGAAUUUCGCAUUAUGGAGUCACUAGGCAGUGCACGUGCGAGGGCACUGAAGACACAAGACAGUUCACAGUUAUUUAUUACGCUUCUUUUUUUCUUUACACCGGAUUCGGAACUGCAAAUCUGGAGCCGUGGGCAGAUCCCAGCACUCAUUGCUAACACUGGACAGAAAUAAAACAGGAGUUCCUCCUGUAGGAAGAGAAGCCAUCCAUCCGUGCCCAGGGCUAAAGGCAGUGUUCGUAACAAAUUGCCUGACUAGUUUAUCUUCCUUAUGUCCAUAUCACAACUCUCUCAAAUUAUUUUUCUGCUGCUAAAUCCCCCUGUGGUUCUGGGUCACUCAUUGAAAGUCAAACCCGGAGCCUGCUUGUGGUGGAGCACAGGCAUGGGCACUGCUUGCCUCCAGAGUACGGCACCACUGCACCUAGGGCCUUGCAUGAUUAAUUGUGGGAAGCGGGAUCUUUGUACAAACACUUUUAAAGGAGAAUGUGAUUAAACUUAAAAGGUAUCUUCUAGGAAUAUUUGUACCAGAGAGACUUGAUCACGCAAGGAGAGAGAACUAGCCAUGCUACAAAAGGAAAUUAGCUUAAAGAAGAACAUUUCAAUCAACAAUCAACAGC
Long non-coding RNA from Anas platyrhynchos (mallard), 1135 nucleotides. RefSeq lists it as uncharacterized. Lineage: Eukaryota; Metazoa; Chordata; Aves; Anseriformes; Anatidae. The record is from RefSeq and is a predicted model, not a curated record.